This 253-nucleotide ribosomal RNA is filed under the name uncultured bacterium. Its description in RNAcentral is "partial 16S ribosomal RNA". It matches the Rfam family "Bacterial small subunit ribosomal RNA", at positions 524 to 776 of the family's 1533-position model. The record is from RNAcentral.
UACGUAGGGGGCUAGCGUUGUCCGGAAUCAUUGGGCGUAAAGAGCGUGUAGGCGGCCCGGUAAGUCCGCUGUGAAAGUCGGGGGCUCAACCCUCGAAUGCCGGUGGAUACUGUCGGGCUAGAGUGCGGAAGAGGCGAGUGGAAUUCCUGGUGUAGCGGUGAAAUGCGCAGAUAUCAGGAGGAACACCAAUUGCGAAGGCAGCUCGCUGGGACGUAACUGACGCUGAGACACGAAAGCCAGGAGAGCGAACGGG